AGCAGAGUAGUGGUAGAAGUACAGAACAAAAAUAUUUUCGAAAACAAUGAAUUUGAGUUUCAGUGAUGUACCAAUUUGCUAUAUUGUUGAGUUGAGCUGAUUUUGAUGUGCUUUGGGAGCUAAUCAAGUAAUAAUUAUACAACUAGAAAUUGGUUUUGAAUCAAAACUUUUAUUUCUCUGGCUAAGAAUAAGCCGGACCUUGUUGGGCAGAGCAACAAUUUUCCAAAUACUACAAAGAAGGCAAAAGUACUAUCGAACACACUUAAUUCUUAUUUAUAAUAGACAUUUUACAUAGAUGGUUGCUGGUGCAAGAGGGCUCCUACUCCGAGGUACUUGAACCCGAGUUGACAUGAAAGCUGGUGCAAGAUCAUCUUCACCAACAUUAAGCUGUUAGAAUGAAAAAAAAAAAACAAAAAAAGAAAACAAGAAACGUGUACAGAAUUAACAAUUAAAGUGAAAAACACACAACAUAAUGACAUGCAAUAACAACUUACAUCUUCUUUAUCAACUUUUCCCAUAUUUAGGAAUCAAGUAAAGUUGAAACCAUUGCAAUUUCCUUUGUAUAAUUCAAACCCAAAAGUGUCUGAUUUCUAUGAAACCCUCACGUUCUCAACAUUCUAAGUUGGAAGCAAUAGAAUUACGAAUUUUAAGGCCGCUUUAAAUAUGACGGGCGCAAGACAGUUUGGAGUUGAGGCCUUAAUGAGAAGUAACCCUCCACCGUUUUUUUUUGUUUAUUCUCGAUUUCUUCAUUAUGUUAGGUUUUGUUCCCAUGUCGCUUUAUUAAAACUUUUUGUUUAUGAUACAUUUAAAACUCUUGUAUAAAUUUUACAGAAACACCAU
Molecule: non-coding RNA, 840 nt
Organism: Sesamum indicum (sesame)
Lineage: Eukaryota; Viridiplantae; Streptophyta; Magnoliopsida; Lamiales; Pedaliaceae
Source: RefSeq, a predicted model, not a curated record